AUGAGUGAGCCGGGCAACGAGUUGGAGGAGCUGCUCUGGGAUAACGGACCGGCGCUCCGGCGGACGGCAUCGCCCUUCCCGCCCUUCUCCUGCAGCGCCGCCGGCACUAUGAAGGCGCAGGAGCUCGCCAAGCACCCCGCGUCGGCGACGGCGAUGGCGCACGGACACGACGACGACGCCGUGCCGUGGUUGCAACAUUACCCCAUCAUCGGCGUGGACGACGACGGCAGCGGCGGCGACACGGCCCCGCUGCCCCAGGAGUACUUCUCCACCUUGUUUCCCGGGUUCUCCGACCUCCCCGCUGCGGUGGCGAGCAGAGAUGCCGGAGCGCCAUCAACGUCUCACGCAGCGGUCGUCGUGCCGCCGCUGCCGGAGCCACCUGCGCCCCCCAAGCAGCAGCAGCCGCCGCCUCGGACCACCGGCGAGGGCGUCAUGAACUUCUCCUUCUUCUCGAGGCCCCUGCAGCGCUCGCUGCCGCAGGCCAGCGUGAGACCGUCUGCCGCGGGGAACAAGUCCGUCGAGUCGAUGCUGCUGCAGACCAACAGGCUAAGAAGCACCCCUCUGUUCUCGGAGCAGAGGACGGCGUGGCUGCAUCCGCCCAAGGAGUCACCCGCCACGGCGUCCGCAUCCCGUCCUCCGGCACCGCCGGUGCCUGUCCGGCAUGCUGCAGAACCGGCUGCGGCGUUACCCCAGAGACUGCAACCGGAAGCCAGGGCUGCGGCGUUACCACCGAGAUUGCAACCGGAAGUGAGGGCUGUGGCGUUACCCCAGAGAUUGCAAUCGGAAGCGAGGGCUUCCGAGAUGCCACCGCCGCCCGCAACAGCGACGACCUCGUCUGUCUGCUCCGACAACGGUGAGCGGAGCCAGCUGAAGAGGAGCAGCCACCAGACUCUGGAGUGGUCGGUCAGUCAGGACGACGAGGAUCUCGACGACGAGGCCGGCGGGCUGAGAAGGUCGGCGGCGAGGAGCACCAAGCGCGGCCGCACCGCCGAAGUGCACAACAUGUCGGAGAGGAGGAGAAGGGACCGAAUCAACGAGAAGAUGCGCGCCCUGCAAGAACUCAUCCCCAACUGCAACAAGAUCGACAAGGCGUCGAUGCUGGAGGAGGCCAUCGAGUACCUCAAGACCCUGCAGCUCCAGGUCCAGAUGAUGUCGACGAUGGGGACGGCCGGGCUGUGCAUGCCGCCGAUGAUGGCAAUGCAGCACAUGCAGAUGCCGCCCAUGGCGCACUUCCACCACCACCACCUCGGCGCCAUGGGGUUCGGCAUGGGCGCCUUCGACCCGCGCCUCGUCGCCGCCGCCGGCGCCGCGCAGUUCCCUUACCCGAUGAUGCCCGGCGCGCCCAUGUUCGGCGCCCACGCGAUGCCUCCCCCGCCACCGUUCCACCAGGCGGCGGUGGCGGGCGCUCACAUGGCUGCCGGCCCGGUCACCAACGACGCCGCCACCGCAGCGCAGGCCGAGCACGAGCAGACACCGGGCGACCAUCCGCAGGUCCCACGAGCAAUGUAG
Molecule: ribosomal RNA, 1509 nt
Filed under: Triticum aestivum (bread wheat)
Lineage: Eukaryota; Viridiplantae; Streptophyta; Magnoliopsida; Poales; Poaceae
Description: partial small subunit ribosomal RNA
Source: RNAcentral